Molecule: ribosomal RNA, 792 nt
Filed under: uncultured Clostridia bacterium
Lineage: Bacteria; Bacillati; Bacillota; Clostridia
Description: bacterial SSU rRNA
Rfam family: Bacterial small subunit ribosomal RNA
Source: RNAcentral
CUUGACAGAUCCCUUCGGGGUGAAGAUAAGAUGGAUUAGCGGCGGACGGGUGAGUAACACGUGAGUAACCUGCCUUAGACAUUGGGAUAGCCUCGGGAAACCGGGAUUAAUACCAAAUAAAAUCAUAGGUGCCCAUGCACUAAUGAUCAAAACUCCGGUGGUCUAAGAUGGACUCGCGUCCCAUUAGCUAGUUGGUGAGGUAACGGCCCACCAAGGCGACGAUGGGUAGCCGGCCUGAGAGGGUGAACGGCCACAUUGGAACUGAGAAACGGUCCAAACUCCUACGGGAGGCAGCAGUGGGGAAUAUUGCACAAUGGAGGGAACUCUGAUGCAGCGACGCCGCGUGAACGAUGAAGGCUUUCGAGUCGUAAAGUUCUUUUAUAUGGGAAGAUAAUGACGGUACCAUAAGAAAAAGCCCCGGCUAACUACGUGCCAGCAGCCGCGGUAAUACGUAGGGGCUAGCGUUGUCCGGAAUCACUGGGCGUAAAGGGUUCGCAGGCGGAAAUGCAAGUCAGAUGUAAAAGGCAGUAGCUUAACUACUGUAAGCAUUUGAAACUGCAUAUCUUGAGAAGAGUAGAGGUAAGUGGAAUUUCUUAGUGUAGCGGUGAAAUGCGUAGAUAUUAAAAAGAAUACCGGUGGCGAAGGCGACUUACUGGGCUCAUUCUGACGCUGAGGAACGAAAGCGUGGGUAGCAUACAGGAUUAGAUACCCUGGUAGUCCACGCUGUGAAACGAUGAGUGCUAGUAUCGGAAUAUUCGGUGCCGCAGUUAACACAUUAAGCACUCCGCCUGG